GACCGCGUGGCCGAGUGGAAAAGGCGUUAGAUUUCGGAUCCAAAGUUCGCAGGUUCGAGUCCUGCAGCGGUCA
Molecule: non-coding RNA, 73 nt
Organism: Penaeus vannamei (Pacific white shrimp)
Lineage: Eukaryota; Metazoa; Arthropoda; Malacostraca; Decapoda; Penaeidae
Source: the annotation of a RefSeq genome assembly